Molecule: ribosomal RNA, 332 nt
Filed under: Pectinaria lizhei
Lineage: Eukaryota; Metazoa; Annelida; Polychaeta; Terebellida; Pectinariidae
Description: Pectinaria sp. l JZ-2022 partial large subunit ribosomal RNA
Rfam family: Bacterial large subunit ribosomal RNA
Source: RNAcentral
UGGACAAACGAGGGCCAAACUGUCUCCUGAAUAUACCUAAAAAUUGGCCUUUAGGUGAAAAGACCUAAAUUAAAUCAAAGGACAAGAAGACCCCGUAGAGCUUUGUUCUUUUAUAGUAUAGGGAAAAAUAUUAUAUCUUUUCCCUGUAUCUAAACAAAGAGCUCAGCUGGGGCGGCUGAGGAAAAAUCAAUCUUCCAUCUUUACCAGACCUUUAAAUAGCGCAUAAAGGCUAUAUGCCACAAUUUAAAUUGACCCCAUAUUGGAUCAGAAAAAAUAGCUACCUCGGGGAUAACAGAUUAAUCCUUCUUGAGAGUUCGCAUUGACAGAAGGGC